RNAcentral lists this ribosomal RNA (500 nucleotides) under uncultured bacterium. Its description in RNAcentral is "partial 16S ribosomal RNA". It matches the Rfam family "Bacterial small subunit ribosomal RNA", at positions 29 to 523 of the family's 1533-position model. The record is from RNAcentral.
AUUGAACGCUGGCGGCAUGCUUUACACAUGCAAGUCGAACGGCAGCACGGGGGCAACCCUGGUGGCGAGUGGCGAACGGGUGAGUAAUGCAUCGGAACAUGCCCAGUAGUGGGGGAUAACACAUCGAAAGAUGUGCUAAUACCGCAUACGCACUGAGGUGGAAAGCGGGGGAUCGUAAGACCUCGCGCUAUUGGAGUGGCCGAUGUCCGAUUAGCUAGUUGGUGGGGUAAUGGCCAACCAAGGCGACGAUCGGUAGCUGGUCUGAGAGGAUGAUCAGCCACACUGGGACUGAGACACGGCCCAGACUCCUACGGGGGGCAGCAGUGGGGAAUUUUGGACAAUGGGCGCAAGCCUGAUCCAGCCAUGCCGCGUGAGUGAAGAAGGCCUUCGGGUUGUAAAGCUCUUUCGGCCGGAACGAAAUCGUCCGGGCUAAUACCCCGGAUGGAUGACGGUACCGGAAGAAGAAGCACCGGCUAACUACGUGCCAGCAGCCGCCGUAA